AAGAAAGCAAUCAAACCCAUACUUCCAUAUUCCGACAUGCCGGUGCCCUUCGGACUUGUCCUAAGGCAUAGAUAUAUCUAACAUUUGUGGAUUUCUCCACCAUAAUCAUAACAUUUGUGGAUUUCUCCACCAUUAACAUACUUUGGUUUUUCAUGCAUAACUUAAGCAUAAAUAUUACCAUGAAAAUCAUACCACAUAAGCAUAGAAGGUAUCUUACCGUAAAACUUGAUGAUCUUUGUUUGAAAUGAAUUGAAAGUGCUAAACUUUCUUCCUUCUUCUUUCCUUUCUUGAUUUCGGUUUU
Molecule: long non-coding RNA, 301 nt
Filed under: Olea europaea (common olive)
Lineage: Eukaryota; Viridiplantae; Streptophyta; Magnoliopsida; Lamiales; Oleaceae
Description: long non-coding RNA (OEUR_LNC000764)
Source: RNAcentral